ACGGGAGGCAGCAGUGGGGAAUAUUGCACAAUGGGGGAAACCCUGAUGCAGCAACGCCGCGUGAGUGAUGACGGUCUUCGGAUUGUAAAGCUCUGUCUUCAGGGACGAUAAUGGCGGUACCUGAGGAGGAAGCCACGGCUAACUACGUGCCAGCAGCCGCGGUAAUACGUAGGUGGCAAGCGUUGUCCGGAUUUACUGGGCGUAAAGGGGGCGUAGGCGGACUUUUAAGUGGGAUGUGAAAUACCCGGGCUUAACCUGGGUGCUGCAUUCCAAACUGGGAGUCUAGAGUGCAGGAGGGGAAAGUGGAAUUCCUAGUGUAGCGGUGAAAUGCGUAGAGAUUAGGAAGAACACCGGUGGCGAAGGCGACUUUCUGGACUGUAACUGACGCUGAGGCUCGAAAGCGUGGGGAGCGAACAGGAUUAGAUACCCUGGUA
Molecule: ribosomal RNA, 434 nt
Filed under: uncultured Clostridium sp.
Lineage: Bacteria; Bacillati; Bacillota; Clostridia; Eubacteriales; Clostridiaceae
Description: partial 16S ribosomal RNA
Rfam family: Bacterial small subunit ribosomal RNA
Source: RNAcentral